GGAGAGGAAAAAUGGGUAAAGAGUUUUGUCUCAUGUGUAUACGAAUGAUUGGGAAAAAAAUUAUUAAAAGAGAAGGAAUGAUGUGAAAAGAGAAAACCUAUAUAACAAGUAAACGAAGAAGAAGAAGAAAAGAAAUUAAAGUGAAAGCUACAAAGAGGAUCAGAACCUGAGUCCACACUAGAUCCCCUUCACCGCGGCGCACAUAACAAAAAUCUCUCACGAAAUCAUCAGGUGUUGCCGAUCUCACCUACACCCUCCACGUCAAUAAGCCAUGUGAUUGGACAGAUGGAUGAAGGGUGGUGGUUUCUAUGAUGAUGAUCAAUCAGAUGGGAAAGCCUUCUCAUUCGUGGGGGCCCCAUUUGACAUGACUAGACUAUUUUCAUCAACCAAUCUCCACCCUUGGAUCUUCAUUUUAAUCUUAUUCUUUUCUUUUCUUUUCUUUCUUUUUUUUACAAUGAGAGACAUAAAGUUUAGUUAGAUGGUCAAUAUCAAAGAUGUACUACCAAGUUUGUUUUUCCAGCUACUCAUUCAACAUUAUCAUACAUCAAAUAUAUAUAUAUAUACAUAGCUUCUAUACUCUAUUCUCA
Cucumis sativus (cucumber) is the source of this 587-nucleotide long non-coding RNA. RefSeq lists it as uncharacterized. The transcript is spliced from 2 exons. The record is from RefSeq and is a predicted model, not a curated record. NCBI's taxonomy places the organism in Eukaryota, Viridiplantae, Streptophyta, Magnoliopsida, Cucurbitales, Cucurbitaceae.